CACAAUUUGUUCAUCAUGUUGACUUACUUUAAAAAAUCUUCUCCUUUGAAACUGCUGUAUCAAUUUCAUCCAAACUUAGGCUAAAUGAGUUUCAGAGUAUCUAGUAUGAAUUUUAUAUUUUAUUUCCUUGUAUGUCAAGAAACAGCUCCUAUGGCUAAAAUAGAACAUAUAGGAGAAAAUGAUUAUUUUUUUUGGCUUUUGAAGAAAAUAG
This 211-nucleotide long non-coding RNA is filed under the name Mytilus galloprovincialis (Mediterranean mussel). Lineage: Eukaryota; Metazoa; Mollusca; Bivalvia; Mytilida; Mytilidae. The record is from RNAcentral.